CAGGAUACAAAAAUAUAACAUUUUGAUUUUAAGCCGCCAUCUUGGAUUUUUAGCGUUUCAACGUGAAAACGCUUGUCCGAAAACGUUUUUAGCAUUGAAAACGUUUUCGUCAUAAGAUGACGUUUUCAUCCGUUUUCGUGUGGACACGGCUUGAAAACGACACUUUUUGAAAACGUUACAGCUGAAAACGCUCGAAAACGUUACCGUGUGCACAUAGUCUGUAAAAUUAUGCUAAAAUGAAGAGAUAUGUAGUUUUUUACCUGUUUCAUCCAAGAGCAAUCAUCAUGCUGCAGGUGGCUGACAAAUUUCGAAAAAUGAGCUGCUUUAUAA
Molecule: non-coding RNA, 330 nt
Organism: Paramuricea clavata
Lineage: Eukaryota; Metazoa; Cnidaria; Anthozoa; Malacalcyonacea; Plexauridae
Source: the annotation of a GenBank genome assembly